RNAcentral lists this ribosomal RNA (402 nucleotides) under bacterium. Its description in RNAcentral is "partial 16S ribosomal RNA". It matches the Rfam family "Bacterial small subunit ribosomal RNA", at positions 355 to 776 of the family's 1533-position model. The record is from RNAcentral.
UGGGGAAUUUUGCACAAUGGGGGAAACCCUGAUGCAGCGACGCCGCGUGAUUUAGAAGGCCUUCGGGUUGUAAAAAUCUUUUCUAUGGGAAGAAAAUGACAGUACCAUAGGAAUAAGGACCGGCUAAUUACGUUCCAGCAGCCGCGGUAAUACGUAAGGUCCGAGCGUUGUCCGGAAUCAUUGGGCGUAAAGGGUACGUAGGCGGGUAAGCAAGUUAGGAGUUAAAUCCUAUAGCUAAACUAUAGUAAGCUUUUAAAACUGCUCAUCUUGAGGUAUGGAAGGGAAAGUGGAAUUCCUAGUGUAGCAGUGAAAUGCGCAGAUGUUAGGAGGAAUACCGGUGGCGAAGGCGACUUUCUGGCCAUACCCUGACGCUGAGGUACGAAAGCGUGGGUAGCAAACAGG